UACAGAGGGUGCGAGCGUUAAUCGGAAUUAUUGGGCGUAAAGAGCUCGUAGGCGGUUUGUCGCGUCUGCUGUGAAAACUCGGGGCUUAACCCCGGGCCUGCAGUGGGUACGGGCAGACUAGAGUGCGGUAGGGGAGACUGGAAUUCCUGGUGUAGCGGUGAAAUGCGCAGAUAUCAGGAGGAACACCGGUGGCGAAGGCGGGUCUCUGGGCCGUAACUGACGCUGAGGAGCGAAAGCGUGGGGAGCGAACAGG
Molecule: ribosomal RNA, 253 nt
Filed under: uncultured bacterium
Lineage: Bacteria
Description: partial 16S ribosomal RNA
Rfam family: Bacterial small subunit ribosomal RNA
Source: RNAcentral